GGUAACAUUUCUAGCUUGCUAGAAGAUGACGAGUGGCGGACGGGUGAGUAAUACUUAGGAAUAUGCCUUUGUGUGGGGGAUAACUAUUGGAAACGAUAGCUAAUACCGCAUAACGUCUUCGGACCAAAGGGGGCUUCGGCUCCCGCGCAAAGAGUAGCCUAAGCGAGAUUAGCUUGUUGGUGAGGUAAAGGCUCACCAAGGCGACGAUCUCUAGCUGUUCUGAGAGGAAGAUCAGCCACACUGGAACUGAGACACGGUCCAGACUCCUACGGGAGGCAGCAGUGGGGAAUAUUGGACAAUGGGGGCAACCCUGAUCCAGCCAUGCCGCGUGAGUGAAGAAGGCCUUCGGGUUGUAAAGCUCUUUCAGAUGCGAAGAUGAUGACGGUAACAUCAGAAGAAGCCCCGGCUAAUUUCGUGCCAGCAGCCGCGGUAAUACGAAAGGGGCAAGCGUUGUUCGGAUUUACUGGGCGUAAAGGGCACGCAGGCGGUCUUGCCAGUCAGGGGUGAAAGCCCGGGGCUCAACCCCGGAACUGCCUCUGAUACUGCAAGACUAGAGACUAGGAGAGGGUGGUGGAAUUCCCAGUGUAGAGGUGAAAUUCGUAGAUAUUGGGAGGAACACC
RNAcentral lists this ribosomal RNA (620 nucleotides) under uncultured bacterium. Its description in RNAcentral is "bacterial SSU rRNA". It matches the Rfam family "Bacterial small subunit ribosomal RNA", at positions 68 to 710 of the family's 1533-position model. The record is from RNAcentral.